GACGAACGCUGGCGGCGUGCUUAACACAUGCAAGUCGAACGGUGAAGCGCCUUCCUUUUUGGUGGGUGUGGAUGAGUGGCGAACGGGUGAGUAACACGUGAGUAACCUGCCCCCUCCUUCUGGAUAACCGCAUGAAAGUGUGGCUAAUACGGGAUAUUCUGGGUCUGUCGCAUGAUGGGUCUGGGAAAGAUAUUGUUUCGGUGGGGGAUGGGCUCGCGGCCUAUCAGCUUGUUGGUGGGGUGAUGGCCUACCAAGGCGGUGACGGGUAGCCGGCCUGAGAGGGUGGACGGUCACACUGGGACUGAGACACGGCCCAGACUCCUACGGGAGGCAGCAGUGGGGAAUAUGGCACAAUGGGCGCAAGCCUGAUGCAGCGACGCCGCGUGAGGGAUGGAGGCCUUCGGGUUGUGAACCUCUUUCGCCAGUGAAGCAGGCCUGCCUCGUUUGUGGGUGGGUUGACGGUAGCUGGAUAAGAAGCGCCGGCUAACUACGG
Molecule: ribosomal RNA, 493 nt
Filed under: uncultured bacterium
Lineage: Bacteria
Description: partial 16S ribosomal RNA
Rfam family: Bacterial small subunit ribosomal RNA
Source: RNAcentral